This 386-nucleotide ribosomal RNA is filed under the name Periplaneta americana (American cockroach). RNAcentral describes it as "partial large subunit ribosomal RNA". The record is from RNAcentral. Lineage: Eukaryota; Metazoa; Arthropoda; Insecta; Blattodea; Blattidae.
CAUCUUUUCUUGAAUUUUAAUAUGAAAUAUGACCUGCCCACUGAUAAAUUUGAAGGGCCGCGGUAUUUUGACCGUGCAAAGGUAGCAUAAUCAUUAGUCUUUUAAUUGUGGACUGGAAUGAAUGGUUGGACGAGGAAUAUACUGUUUCUUAUAAUAUUAUUGAAUUUAAUUUUUAAGUUAAAAAGCUUAAAUUUAUUUAUAGGACGAGAAGACCCUAUAGAGUUUAUAUACAUUAUUCUAUUUAUUUUGUUUGUUUAUUUUAUUUAGUAUUUAAUAUAUUUUAUUGGGGUGAUUGGAAGAAUUAAUUAACUCUUUUUUUUUAAUAUACAUUAAUUUAUGAAUACUUGAUCCAAUUUUGUUGAUUAUAAGAUUAAAUUACCUUAGGG